GAACGGGUGGGUAAUACAUAAGUAACCUGCCCUAGACAGGGGGAUAACUAUUGGAAACGAUAGCUAAGACCGCAUAGGUACGGACACUGCAUGGUGACCGUAUUAAAAGUGCCUCAAAGCACUGGUAGAGGAUGGACUUAUGGCGCAUUAGCUGGUUGGCGGGGUAACGGCCCACCAAGGCGACGAUGCGUAGCCGACCUGAGAGGGUGACCGGCCACACUGGGACUGAGACACGGCCCAGACUCCUACGGGAGGCAGCAUG
Molecule: ribosomal RNA, 262 nt
Filed under: uncultured bacterium
Lineage: Bacteria
Description: partial 16S ribosomal RNA
Rfam family: Bacterial small subunit ribosomal RNA
Source: RNAcentral